RNAcentral lists this long non-coding RNA (262 nucleotides) under Homo sapiens (human). RNAcentral's name for it is "HSALNT0349382". Lineage: Eukaryota; Metazoa; Chordata; Mammalia; Primates; Hominidae. The record is from RNAcentral.
CUCUUUCCAGCCGCCCUGUGGGGAAGGUGUCUUGCUUCCCCUUCACCUUCCACCAUCAGUGUAAGUUUCCUGAGGAUUCCCCAGCCGUGCUGAACUAGAUGUGGUCUCACUGUGUUGCCUAGGCUAGUCUCAAACUCCUGGCCUCAAACUAUCAUCCCACCUUAGCCUCCCAAAGUGCCGGGAUCACAACAGAUUUGUCCCAUAGCAUAAGAUUCACACUCAAUACUAUCAUCCUUUGGGUCUCUAAGACACCAACCUAAAA